GUUAAAAGAGUUACAUUUAUGGCAUUCUUGGCGGAUGAGCAUGAUGUUCAUGGUCAGGCCCUCCAGGUGAAACUCUAUCAGAGUCAGCUUUCAAAGCAAAAACCUGGCGAUAAUGCUCCAACUUGUUACGAUCAUAGCCUAAUUCACGUAAAAGAAGGCGGCUGCUAAUUUUCUUCUGCACCAGGGAUUGAGCUUGAGAAGAACUCAUCAAAAGGACCACGAAGAAGGCAGCCAAGAAAGAUAACCUAGCCAUCGUAAGUGAGGAGGAAGUAG
RNAcentral lists this long non-coding RNA (273 nucleotides) under Gossypium raimondii (Peruvian cotton). Its description in RNAcentral is "long non-coding RNA (GRAI_LNC004287)". The record is from RNAcentral. Lineage: Eukaryota; Viridiplantae; Streptophyta; Magnoliopsida; Malvales; Malvaceae.